AUAAAGCAAGGGAGAUAAAGUAUACCGCCAAUUGCUCGGUGGCGUAGCUGGAUGGGGAUAGGUCGCAGAGGGAGGUCUCCUGACUUGUAGUCAGUAGCCCAUUAUGGGAUGUGAUCCAGCCCUUGUGGCGGAAAAUAGUGACGCGCAUGAAUGGAUUAACGAGAUUCCCACUGUCCCUAUCUACUAUCUAGCGAAACCACAGCCAAGGGAACGGGCUUGGCGAACACAGCGGGGAAAGAAGACCCUGUUGAGCUUGACUCUAGUCCGACUCUGUGAAGAGUCAUGAGAGGUGUAGCAUAAGUGGGAGGCCUUGGCCGACAGUGAAAUACCACUACUUUCAUCGAUUCUUUACUUAUUCGGUAAGACGAGAAUUGAGCCUAUCCGGCUCUUCAUUCUGGUGUUAAGUGCAGCCACUCGGUGGCCGCUCGACUCGCGCCGAAGACAGUGUCAGGCGGGGAGUUUGACUGGGGCGGUACAUCUGUCAAAUCGUAACGCAGGUGUCCUAAGGCUAGCUCAGAGAGGACGGAAACCUCUCGUAGAGCAAAAGGGCAAAAGCUCGCUUGAUCUUGAUUUCCAGUACGAAUACAGACCGCGAAAGCGUGGCCUAUCGAUCCUUUUGAAUUAGAAGGUCUCUAGCAAGAGGUGUCAGAAAAGUUACCACAGGGAUAACUGGCUUGUGGCAGCCAAUAAGGCGUUCAUAAGUGGCCGGAACAUGCGAGAUGUACUGGCGGUACAAGAGGGCUCACUGUCCACCAAGUGUUGCCCAAAGGCUAGGGGGAA
RNAcentral lists this non-coding RNA (780 nucleotides) under Toxocara canis (dog roundworm). RNAcentral's name for it is "Eukaryotic large subunit ribosomal RNA". It matches the Rfam family "Eukaryotic large subunit ribosomal RNA", at positions 2302 to 2860 of the family's 3401-position model. Lineage: Eukaryota; Metazoa; Nematoda; Chromadorea; Rhabditida; Toxocaridae. The record is from Rfam by way of RNAcentral.